CCUACGGGUGGCAGCAGUGAGGAAUAUUGGUCAAUGGUCGGGAGACUGAACCAGCCAAGCCGCGUGAGGGAUGAAGGUACUGAGUGUCGUAAACCUCUUUUGCCAGGGAACAAAGCCGUGCACGUGUCCCCGGAUGAGUGUACCUUCAGAAAAAGCAUCGGCUAAAUCCGUUCACGCAGCCGCGGUAAUGCGGAGGAUGCGAGGGUUAUCCGGUUUCACUGGGUAUAAGGGGCGCGCAGGCGGGCUGUUAAGUCAGCGGUAAAAUCCCGGGGCUCAACCCCGGCCCUCCGUUGAAACUGGCAGUCUUGAGUUGGAGAGAAGUAUGCUGAAAGCGCGGUGU
This 340-nucleotide ribosomal RNA is filed under the name uncultured bacterium. Its description in RNAcentral is "partial 16S ribosomal RNA". It matches the Rfam family "Bacterial small subunit ribosomal RNA", at positions 338 to 676 of the family's 1533-position model. The record is from RNAcentral.